CAGGAUUCCCUCAGUAAUGGCGAAUGACCAGGGAUAAGCUCAGCAUUGAAAUCUGGGCCCUCGGCCUUGAAUUGUAAUCUCGAGAUGUGCAACCAACGGAGGCGCAGAUGUAAGCCUCUUGGAAAAGAGCACCAGCGAGGGUGAGAGUCCCGUUCGUCAUUUGCAGUCCUCCGUGUACGGUGUACUUUCUAAGAGUCACGUUCCUCGGGCUUGGAGCGCCAAAGGUGGUAAUUUUCAUCUAAAGCUAAAUAUAGGUUCGAGACCGAUAGCAACCAAGUCCCAUGAGGGAAAGAUGAAAAGGCCUUUGGAAAGAGAGUUAAAAGUGCCUGAAAUCGCUGAAAGGGAAGCGAAUGGACCCAGUGUUUCUUGGCGAGAUUGUUGCGUGCUAAGUUGAUGGCCGGUUGCUUCAACGCAAGUGUUGCAGUUGGUUUUGAUAUGGAUGCGCGUGGUGCUUCUCGCCUUGCUUGUCAACGUCGAUUUGAAGUUGAGGAAAACUCAAGGGACAUGGUAGUUUGCCCUCGGGUGACCGAACGUGCCUUGCAGAACUCAUCUUUGAAUUGAAGCUCGUGUGUCUGGUUGCAAUGCCUCCCUCUCUGGCUUGUCGCCCUGGGAAAUUCAGCAGGAGCGCAGCCUUUUAUGGCGAGAGCAUUCCUUGACGCGCAGAUGGUGACAAAAUGGUUUCACUCGACCCGUCUUGAAACACGGACCAAGGAGUCUAACAUAUGUGCAAGUUCCCGGGUGGCCAAACCUGCUGGCGUAAUGAAAGUGACUGCUGGGAUUUUUGCACCAGCAACCGACUGACCAAUUGAGAGAGGUUUGAGUAUGAGCACAUCUGUUAGGACCCGAAAGAUGGUGAACUAUGCCUGAGAAGGGUGAAGUCAGGGGAAACUCUGAUGGAGGCUCAUAGCGAUACUGACGUGCAAAUCGUUCGUCAUACUUGGGUAUAGGGGCGAAAGACUAAUCGAACCAUCUAGUAGCUGGUUCCCUCCGAAGUUUCCCUCAGGAUAGCUGGAGUUGAACAGUUUUAUCAGGUAAAGCGAAUGAUUAGAGGAAUCGGGGACGCGCUGUCUUCGACCUAUUCUCAAACUUUAAAUGGGUAAGAUCCAGUGGUUACUUAAUUGAACCUCUGGGAUAAAUGACAACUCUAAGUGGGCCAUUUUUGGUAAGCAGAACUGGCGAUGAGGGAUGAACCUAACGUUGGGUUAAGGUGCUUAACUGCUCGCUCAUCAGAUACCAUAAAGGGUGUUGGUUCAUUUUAACAGCAGGACGGUGGUCAUGGAAGUCGAAAUCCGCUAAGGAGUGUGUAACAACUCACCUGCCGAAUGGACUAGCCCCGAAAAUGGAUGGCGCUCAAGCGGGUGACUGACACCCAACCAUUGUUGCAAUUGUGCUGCAUCAAUGAGUAGGAGGGCAUGGGGGUU
This 1421-nucleotide ribosomal RNA is filed under the name Gyrodinium spirale. RNAcentral's name for it is "LSU rRNA". It matches the Rfam family "Eukaryotic large subunit ribosomal RNA", at positions 70 to 1399 of the family's 3401-position model. Lineage: Eukaryota; Dinophyceae; Gymnodiniales; Gymnodiniaceae. The record is from RNAcentral.